This is a long non-coding RNA of Sphaeramia orbicularis (orbiculate cardinalfish), 629 nucleotides long. RefSeq lists it as uncharacterized. NCBI's taxonomy places the organism in Eukaryota, Metazoa, Chordata, Actinopteri, Kurtiformes, Apogonidae. The record is from RefSeq and is a predicted model, not a curated record. The transcript has 3 exons.
UGUAAUUUCUCAGAUCCCUUUAGGCCAGUCUUAAACAAUGACUUUCACCAGACUUGUGGAGGGGUGCUGUGUGACUGUAGUUCUGCCUGGCCCGAACAAAGUUCUUAUACUCUGUGAAGUGGAGGUUUAUUGGCAUUGUGCACCCACAGGACAGAAUUGGCUCUGAGUGGAAAAGCCACACAAUCCUCCGUCCAUGCAAAUGGCAUCCCAUAUAAUGCCAUAGAUGGAAAUCGUGCCAGCAGAUGGAACCAAGGGUCUUGUAUCCACACAGGUCCAGAUUUCAAUCCUUGGUGGAGACUUGAUCUGCGCAAAACACAUAAAGUUUUUUCUGUGAUCAUAACUAACAUUGUAGAUGCUCACUCUGCACGACUGAAUGGAGCCGAGAUCCGAAUUGGAGAUUCCCUUGAAAACAAUGGGAAUGACAACCCAAGGUGGCUGUGAUUUCAAGUAUCCCUGCAGGUUUUACCCAAAACUUCCAGUGUCCUGGGAUGGAUGGCCAUUAUGUUAAUGUAGUCAUUCCUGGGCGAGGUGAAUACCUACACAUAUGUGAAGUGGAGGUGUAUGGCUCCCCUCUGGAUUAAAUGUUCUUUUUUUUUCUUCUUUCUUUUCACAUUUACAGACUGUUAAUG